UAACGCGUGGGAAUCUGCCCUUAGGUACGGAAUAACUCAGGGAAACUUGAGCUAAUACCGUAUAAUGACUCCGGUCCAAAGAUUUAUCGCCUAGGGAUGAGCCCGCGUCGGAUUAGCUAGUUGGUGAGGUAAAGGCUCACCAAGGCGACGAUCCGUAGCUGGUCUGAGAGGAUGAUCAGCCACACUGGGACUGAGACACGGCCCAGACUCCUACGGGAGGCAGCAGUGGGGAUUAUUGGACAAUGGGCGAAAGCCUGAUCCAGCAACGCCGCGUGUGUGAUGAAGGCCUUAGGGUUGU
This 298-nucleotide ribosomal RNA is filed under the name uncultured Sphingomonadaceae bacterium. Its description in RNAcentral is "partial 16S ribosomal RNA". It matches the Rfam family "Bacterial small subunit ribosomal RNA", at positions 111 to 426 of the family's 1533-position model. The record is from RNAcentral. Lineage: Bacteria; Pseudomonadati; Pseudomonadota; Alphaproteobacteria; Sphingomonadales; Sphingomonadaceae.